RNAcentral lists this ribosomal RNA (82 nucleotides) under Natronobacterium texcoconense. Its description in RNAcentral is "partial 23S rRNA. Archaeal LSU". It matches the Rfam family "Archaeal large subunit ribosomal RNA", at positions 2894 to 2973 of the family's 2987-position model. The record is from RNAcentral. Lineage: Archaea; Methanobacteriati; Methanobacteriota; Halobacteria; Halobacteriales; Natrialbaceae.
CGUAGAAGACGAGUUCGAUAGACUCGGGGUGUACGCGCCAAGGCAACGAGGCGUUGAGCCCGCGAGCACUAACAGAUCGAGC